Molecule: ribosomal RNA, 506 nt
Filed under: uncultured bacterium
Lineage: Bacteria
Description: partial 16S ribosomal RNA
Rfam family: Bacterial small subunit ribosomal RNA
Source: RNAcentral
AUUGAACGCUGGCGGCAGGCCUAACACAUGCAAGUCGAACGGUAGCACAAAGGAGCUUGCUCCUUGGGUGACGAGUGGCGGACGGGUGAGUAAUGUCUGGGAAACUGCCUGAUGGAGGGGGAUAACUACUGGAAACGGUAGCUAAUACCGCAUAACGUCGCAAGACCAAAGAGGGGGACCUUCGGGCCUCUUGCCAUCAGAUGUGCCCAGAUGGGAUUAGCUAGUAGGUGGGGUAAUGGCUCACCUAGGCGACGAUCCCUAGCUGGUCUGAGGGGAGGACCAGCCACACUGGAACUGAGACACGGGCCAGACUCCUACGGGAGGCAGCAGUGGGGAAUAUUGCACAAUGGGCGCAAGCCUGAUGCAGCCAUGCCGCGUGUAUGAAGAAGGCCUUCGGGUUGUAAAGUACUUUCAGCGGGGAGGAAGGUGAUACGGUUAAUAACCGUGUCAAUUGACGUUACCCGCAGAAGAAGCACCGGCUAACUCCGUGCCAGCAGCCGCCGUAA